This 69-nucleotide transfer RNA is filed under the name Harpalinae sp. 3 ACP-2013. Its description in RNAcentral is "tRNA-Glu". The record is from RNAcentral. Lineage: Eukaryota; Metazoa; Arthropoda; Insecta; Coleoptera; Carabidae.
UAUUUAUAUAGUUUAACUUUAAAACCUUACAUUUUCACUGUAAAAAUAAAAUAUCUUAUUUUUAUAAAU